GACGAACCGUGCGAACGUUGUUCGGAAUCACUGGGCUUAAAGGGCGCGUAGGCGGGUCCGCAAGUCAGGGGUGAAAUCUUUCAGCUUAACUGGAAAACAGCCCCUGAUACUGCGAGUCUCGAGGGAGGUAGGGGCAUGUGGAACUUCCGGUGGAGCGGUGAAAUGCGUAGAUAUCGGAAGGAACGCCGGUGGCGAAAGCGACGUGCUGGACCUCUUCUGACGCUGAGGCGCGAAAGCCAGGGGAGCAAACGGG
RNAcentral lists this ribosomal RNA (253 nucleotides) under uncultured prokaryote. Its description in RNAcentral is "partial 16S ribosomal RNA". It matches the Rfam family "Bacterial small subunit ribosomal RNA", at positions 524 to 776 of the family's 1533-position model. The record is from RNAcentral.